RNAcentral lists this ribosomal RNA (206 nucleotides) under uncultured bacterium. RNAcentral describes it as "partial 16S ribosomal RNA". It matches the Rfam family "Bacterial small subunit ribosomal RNA", at positions 568 to 774 of the family's 1533-position model. The record is from RNAcentral.
CGCGUAGGCGGGAUAACAAGUCAGGUGUGAAAUCCGGGGCUCAACCCUCGAACUGCACUUGAAACUGUUAUUCUUGAGUGAUGGAGAGGCAAGUGGAAUUCCUAGUGUAGCGGUGAAAUGCGUAGAUAUUAGGAGGAACACCAGUGGCGAAGGCGACUUGCUGGACAUUAACUGACGCUGAGGCGCGAAAGCGUGGGGAGCAAACA